CCUACGGGAGGCAGCAGUGAGGAAUAUUGGUCAAUGGGCGUAAGCCUGAACCAGCCAAGUCGCGUGAGGGAUGAAGGUUCUAUGGAUCGUAGACCUCUUUUAUAAGGGAAUAAAGUGUGGGACGUGUCCUAUUUUGUAUGUACCUUAUGAAUAAGGAUCGGAUAACUCCGUGCCAGCAGCCGCGGUAAUACGGAGGAUCCGAGCGUUAUCCGGAUUUAUUGGGUUUAAAGGGUGCGUAGGCUGCCUUUUAAGUCAGCGGUGAAAGUCUGUGGCUCAACCAUAGAAUGGCCGUUGAAACUGGGGGGCUAGAGUAUGUUUGAGGCAGGCGGAAUGCGUGGUGUAGCGGUGAAAUGCGUAGAUAUCAGGCAGAACCCCGGUUGCGAAGGCAGCCUGCCAGGCCAUGACUGACGCUGAUGCACGAAAGCGUGGGGAUCAAACAGGAUUAGAUACCCUGGUAGUC
This 460-nucleotide ribosomal RNA is filed under the name uncultured bacterium. Its description in RNAcentral is "partial 16S ribosomal RNA". It matches the Rfam family "Bacterial small subunit ribosomal RNA", at positions 338 to 795 of the family's 1533-position model. The record is from RNAcentral.